AGAAGGAGAAGGAGAAGGAGAAGGAGAAGGAGAAGGAGAAGAAGAAGAGCUCCUGUUCUCAAGCUGAGUUUCCCAAACCGCUGGGAUUACAGGGCAAAUGUUCCCCAGUACUGGAAGAGGGAGAGACACUGUUUUAGAAGUAAUCUGUCAUCUACACGGAGAGAACUUCUUAGGGAAGGGGGUGGUGAUGGAGGCCAGGACCAGCUCACCCACCCCAGGAAAGGCCCUGUAUCACUCAGCCCAUAAUUAGGGAACUCUUGGCUCUUGUCUGGUAUGGGAGGAUCUGAGCUCUCUGACAACAACAUGAAGAACUCUAGGGGAAAUGGAGUUAGAGUAGAGGUAACAAAC
Urocitellus parryii (Arctic ground squirrel) is the source of this 348-nucleotide non-coding RNA. NCBI's taxonomy places the organism in Eukaryota, Metazoa, Chordata, Mammalia, Rodentia, Sciuridae. The record is from RefSeq and is a predicted model, not a curated record.